This 672-nucleotide ribosomal RNA is filed under the name Triticum aestivum (bread wheat). RNAcentral's name for it is "partial small subunit ribosomal RNA". The record is from RNAcentral. Lineage: Eukaryota; Viridiplantae; Streptophyta; Magnoliopsida; Poales; Poaceae.
AUGCUCGUCGCGGUCGCUGUGGCACAGCCCAUGCAAGCCGCCCUUGUACGGCCUCCUCUCCUUCGCCACCGCAACAACCGUCGCUUCCAUGGACUACAUCGGCGGUGUCUUAGGAGGGGUGGACUAUCUUUGAGAUCCUGCGGUACAUGUGAGCAUAACUGGUCGGCGUACGAGGAGGCCCUCAAGGCCAAUCCGGUUCUUGCCAAGAUGAUGGUCAGCGGCGGCUUCUACUCCCUCGGCGACUGGAUAGCCCAGGCAUUUGAAUACUUUGGUGAAAUGCCAAUUACUUCUGUGGUGCUCGAGCGCGACGACACGCCUACUGAGUUCCUAGCGCUCGGGAAUGCCAGAGUUGGACGCGCCCAUGCAUGCAUUUUAGCUCUGAGGAUGGCAUCGAGAACGUACACACUCAGGUGCUCCUCAGCAGCAGUUGAUCCAUGUGGGGUUCUAUUUGAGUUCCUUCGUCCCCUGGCAGCGAGGCAGCAAAUGAGGGUAUGGGAUGGAGGUGGCUCUAAUUUCGAGGCUGUGGUUUAUUGGGCUUAUAAUUUCGACAUGAUUAAUGAUAUGAACCGUUUUUAUAGAAGAAUUAGUUUACGUGUUACUGGUUCACUUGCUACAGCUGAAACAUAUUUUGAUGUUAUUGUUAUUGACUGGAGCACACUAAUCCUAAUCUAA